Tachysurus fulvidraco (yellow catfish) is the source of this 1651-nucleotide long non-coding RNA. RefSeq lists it as uncharacterized. The record is from RefSeq and is a predicted model, not a curated record. NCBI's taxonomy places the organism in Eukaryota, Metazoa, Chordata, Actinopteri, Siluriformes, Bagridae. The transcript has 6 exons.
CUACAUUUUGAGUAUCCUGUAUUCCAGCUGAAUAUAUGAUUCAGUUCAAAUCCAGUAACUAAAACCCAGGUGAAGAUGUAGUAUUGAAUUAUAAUUUGUAUCUAGUACAUUAGGACACAAAGGAGAAUUUGAAAUAAUUUUAUUAGCUAAAAACAUCACAGCGAGCCAAGAUGAAUAGCUACAGGAUGAAGAGGACAAAUGAGGACAUUAAGCUGGGUGGCAGUAGAUCCGGCAUCAAUCCUGGGAAUACCGAGAUGUGGAAAUAAACUGUGACUAGGAUGCCAGGUCAUCGCAGAGCACAAUGCACACACACCUUUAUACACUCCUUCACACCCGGAAGCAAAUUACUGUAGUUAUGGAUGAAACAGCGAUUUCUGCUAAUGGAUGUUGGGGUAAAAGGGUGAGUUAAGGACACAUGCUCAGAAGUCAGACUGCUUCAGCGAUGGCCUGGAACCGUCUCGGCUCAACGAGGACGUGAUUGACAGGUCGAGUGACCUGUAUCUUUACGCCCGACUCCGUGAAAGGACGACCGGUGACAUUAAGAGCGAUGACAAAAAAAUAUAUCUGUGGAUCAACUGCAUAAGUGAUGCAGACAGGUUUGAGGAUCACACAUGCCUGGAGCUCUACAUCCAGCUGUAUGUGGGUGAGAUAUAAACACACACACAUUCGUAAUGGAUCUCAUCAAACACCUUUACUGCAGCUCCGAAAGUAAAUGCACUCCCACACCAGAGGUAUAAAUAGACAGGUGAACAUGCUUUUAACAUUAGAAGCAGAACAGUGUUAUUACACUCAGGUAGAAACUAAGGAAGGUUAUAUAUUUUUUCUGGAGCUCAGAAAUGAGACACAUGUGAAAGUGUGGAAUUGUGAAAAGUUACUGGAGUUGAUAAAUUGUUCUUAACCAUUAUGUGAUAAGUAUGCCUAAUAAUCUUUCUUUCUUUCUUUCUUUCUUUCUUUCUUUCUUUCUUUCUUUCUUUCUUUCUUUCUUUCUUUCUUUCUUUCUUUCUUUCUUUCUUUCUAUGUCAAACUACCCCUUCUGUUCCUGACCUGCCUGAUUCUGAUAUAUCCUGAUACCCCACUUCUUGUUAGAGAUCUAAUCACAGCUGAGAAUGAACCUACAUGCACAGCUCGGAGAUACACAUGCGACUGCUUUUACCCCUUGUGCCACUUAUAAACCAGAAAUAAAACCAAAAAAAAAAUCCCUUUAUGGCUGAAGAAGAACACAUUGUAUCUCAGAAGUGGUGGCACAAGUGGUUAAGGCUCUGGGUUGUUUAUUGGAGGAUCAGGCUUCAAGCCCCAGCACUGCCAAGCUGCUACUGUUGGGCCCUUGCACAAGGCCCUUAACCCUCUCUGCUCCAGGGUGCUGUAUCAUGACUGACCCUGUGCUCCGACCCCAAAGUCUGAUAUGUAAAGUUAUAACCACAGACCCUCACACACAUUCGCCAGUCAACCUACAACACAUAUCUUUGGACUUGGACAGAAAACUGCAGUGCCCUUCAAAAAACCAAACAAAACCAGGGCAGAGGCAGGAAUCUUACCCCAACCCUGGAUGUUUGAGUUAAAGCACUGAGCCAUAAUGCAACUACAAAACGUGUGUCUUUAGAAACUGUAUAUAGUUUAUUGUAAAAGGAAUAAAACAGUUUGUCAUGCAGUA